AGGGAAUCGUCCAAAAGGGACGAAAGUCUGAUGGAGCAACGCCGCGUGAGUGAUGAAGGUUUUGGGAUCGUAAAACUCUGGUGUAAGGGAAGAACCAGUAGGGCAGGCAAUGGACGUACAUGGACGGGACCUUAUUGGAAAGGCACGGCUAGCUACGUGCCAGCAGCCGCGGUAAUACGUAGGUGGCAAGCGUUGUCCGGAAUUAUUGGGCGUAAAGCGCGCGCAGGUGGUUUCUUAAGUCUGAUGUGAAAGCCCACGGCUUAACCGUGGAGGGUCAUUGGAAACUGGGAGACUUGAGUGCAGAAGAGGAAAGUGGAAUUCCAAGUGUAGCGGUGAAAUGCGUAGAGAUUUGGAGGAACACCAGUGGCGAAGGCGACUUUCUGGUCUGCAACUGACGCUGAGGCGCGAAAGCAUGGGGAGCAAACA
Molecule: ribosomal RNA, 426 nt
Filed under: uncultured Rummeliibacillus sp.
Lineage: Bacteria; Bacillati; Bacillota; Bacilli; Caryophanales; Caryophanaceae
Description: bacterial SSU rRNA
Rfam family: Bacterial small subunit ribosomal RNA
Source: RNAcentral